Molecule: ribosomal RNA, 252 nt
Filed under: uncultured bacterium
Lineage: Bacteria
Description: partial 16S ribosomal RNA
Rfam family: Bacterial small subunit ribosomal RNA
Source: RNAcentral
UACGUAGGUGGCAAGCGUUAUCCGGAAUUAUUGGGCGUAAAGGGUGAGUAGGCGGUUAAUUAAGUCUGAAGUUAAAGGCAGUGGCUCAACCAUUGUAUGCUUUGGAAACUGAAUAACUAGAGUAUGAUAGAGGUCGGUGGAAUUCCACAUGUAGCGGUGAAAUGCGUAGAUAUGUGGAGGAACACCAGUGGCGAAGGCGGCCGACUGGAUCAAAACUGACGCUGAGGCACGAAAGCGUGGGGAGCAAAUAGG